UACGGGGGGGGCAAGCGUUGUUCGGAAUUACUGGGCGUAAAGGGCUCGUAGGCGGCCAACUAAGUCGGAUGUGAAAUCCCCAGGCUCAACUUGGGAACUGCAUCCGAUACUGGAUGGCUUGAAUUCGGGAGAGGGAUGCAGAAUUCCAGGUGUAGCGGUGAAAUGCGUAGAUAUCAGGAGGAACACCGGUGGCGAAGGCGGGUCUCUGGGCCGAUACUGACGCUGAGGAGCGAAAGCGUGGGGAGCGAACAGG
This 253-nucleotide ribosomal RNA is filed under the name uncultured bacterium. RNAcentral's name for it is "partial 16S ribosomal RNA". It matches the Rfam family "Bacterial small subunit ribosomal RNA", at positions 524 to 776 of the family's 1533-position model. The record is from RNAcentral.